Molecule: long non-coding RNA, 216 nt
Filed under: Lathyrus oleraceus (garden pea)
Lineage: Eukaryota; Viridiplantae; Streptophyta; Magnoliopsida; Fabales; Fabaceae
Description: Pisum sativum (pea) long non-coding RNA (PSAT_LNC035034)
Source: RNAcentral
UCAAAUGAGACAUUCAUCGUAAACGAGUAGCGACUUAAGCAUUACCAAAGCGUAGAAAACAAGGAUUUUUGUAUGAGUUACAGAUUAGAAGAGUAGCCCGCUCUUUCGAAAGAAUAGCCCUAUUCUGAUUUAUGUCGAGCUCCCGACAUUAAAUGAAGCGCUACGUGGGAGGCAACCUAUGAUCCUAAGUUUUUAUUUUCACUUAUUAUAGUUAUU